GGGGGUUAAUAGGAUUAUUUUAAUUUUAAUGGGGGUUAAAUUUUAAAAUAAGAAUAUUUUGGGUUUUAUUAUUUCUAAGAAAAAAUUUGUUUUAUGAUAGUUUAUUAGUAUUGAGAAAGAAUUCUUUUAAAUUUUUAAAAGAAAAAUUAAUUUUUUGUACCUUGUGUAUCAGGGUUUAUUAAAUAAGUUUUAUUUAUUAUAAUUUUCCCGAAUUUAAAAGGGCUACUUAAUCAUGUAUUUUAUUGUGGAAUAAAUAUUUACAAUGUUUAGGUAGAAAUGAAAUGUUAUUCGUUUUUAAAUAUAUCUGGUUUUUCAAGAAAUAAAUUUAAUUUACUUAAUUUUAAAGUAAAAUUUUAAUUUUUUAAAAUUUUGUUUUUUUUAAUUAAUAUUUAGAGGGAUGAGCUUUUAAAUAAAUUUUUAUAAGGGGGUCUGUUUUAAUCAAGAUUUAUAGGAUUAGAAAUUUCUAUUUUUAUAAGGGUGUUAUAACCAAUCUUGGUUUUAGAAUUAUUUGUAUUUUCUUUAAAUUUUUUAUUGAAAUGGGGGUUUCAAUUAAAUUUGGGUUGCAAUAAUGAUAAAAUUAGUAUAUAUUUUUGUUUAUGGGGGUAAAAUAUUCAAGAUUAGGUUAAGGAAUUCGGCAAAAGAUUUUCCGCCUGUUUAUUAAAAACAUGGCCUUUUGUUUAUUAUUUAAGGUCUAGCCUGCCCACUGAGUAGUUAAAUGGCCGCGGUACACUGACCGUGCAAAGGUAGCAUAAUCAUUAGUUUUUUAAUUGAAAGCUGGAAUGAAUGGUUGGAUGAGAAAAUAACUGUCUCUGCCUAAGUUUUAGAAUUUUAUUUUUAAGUAAAAAAGCUUAAAUUUUAUUAAAAGACGAGAAGACCCUAUAGAGUUUUAUAAAUUUCAAUAUUUGAAUUUUUAGUAUUAUCAUCUUGAAUAUUAAAAUUUAUUUGGUUGGGGAGAUCAAAAAACUAAAUUAACUUUUUUUUCAUUUUUACACUUAUUAGUGAUUGUUUGAUCCAUUUUUUGUGAUUAUAAGAUAAAAUUACCUUAGGGAUAACAGCGUAAUCUUUCUUGAGAGUUCUAAUCGAAAGAAGGGUUUGCGACCUCGAUGUUGGAUUAAAAUUAAUUUUUGGUGUAGAAGCUAAAAAUAUUAGGUCUGUUCGACCUUUAAAAUUUUACAUGAUCUGAGUUUAAACCGGCGUGAGCCAGGUUGGUUUCUAUCUUUAAUAUUUUGGAAUAUUUUAGUACGAAAGGACCAAAUAUUUAAUAAUUUAUUUUUUGUCAGAAUAUUACU
This 1289-nucleotide ribosomal RNA is filed under the name Dorysthenes paradoxus. Its description in RNAcentral is "16S ribosomal RNA". The stretch from base 857 to 1224 matches the Rfam family "Bacterial large subunit ribosomal RNA", at positions 2071 to 2649 of the family's 2925-position model. The record is from RNAcentral. Lineage: Eukaryota; Metazoa; Arthropoda; Insecta; Coleoptera; Cerambycidae.